AUGGAGGACUACGGCGGCGUGGCGAGCCUGGUGGCGUCCGGGGUGGUGUUCUGGUCGACGGCGUUCCUGCUGCUGCGGUCGUUGCUCCCCAAGCGCUCCUACGAUUUCUGCAACCGCGCGGUCUCCACCAUGCACGCCGUCACCGGCGUCGCCCUCGGCUGCCUCUCCGUGCAGGACUGGGCCUCCCCCGUCUCCCCCGUCGCCUCACCCUCCUCGCCGCGCCAGAUGAGGGCGCUGGCGGUGACGCUGUCGUACAUGAUCUACGACGGGGCGUGCUGCCACCUGAGCGGCGACGCGCGGCUGGACAACGCCCUGCACCACCUCAUCAGCAUCGUCGGCCUCGCCGCCGGCCUCGCCUACCAGAGGUGUGGGACGGAGCUGGUGGCGUGCCUGAUCGUCACGGAGAUCUCCAGCCCGCUGCUGCACCUCAGGGAGAUGCUCAAGGAGAUCGGCGUCAAGGACACGGACCUCAACCUCCUCGUCGACAUCCUGUUCGCGGUGACCUUCUCGGUGGCACGGAUGGUUUGCGGGACGUACGUCACCUACCGCACUGUCACGGCUGACAAUCCCAUCCUCAUCAAGGCGAUGGCGACGAGCUUGCUGCUGGUAAGCGCCUACUGGUUCCUGAGGAUCCUCAGGAUGGUUAGGCACAAGAUUGGGAAGAAGAGGCUGGCGUCCAAAGCCGCCAGCAAGUGA
RNAcentral lists this ribosomal RNA (696 nucleotides) under Triticum aestivum (bread wheat). RNAcentral's name for it is "partial small subunit ribosomal RNA". The record is from RNAcentral. Lineage: Eukaryota; Viridiplantae; Streptophyta; Magnoliopsida; Poales; Poaceae.